UACGUAGGGUGCGAGCGUUAAUCGGAAUUACUGGGCGUAAAGUGUGCGCAGGCGGCCGCGCAAGUCGAGUGUGAAAGCCCCGAGCUUAACUUGGGAAUUGCGCUCGAAACUACGUGGCUGGAGUGUGGCAGAGGAAGGUGGAAUUCCACGUGUAGCGGUGAAAUGCGUAGAUAUGUGGAGGAACACCGAUGGCGAAGGCAGCCUUCUGGGCCAACACUGACGCUCAUGCACGAAAGCGUGGGGAGCAAACAGG
This 253-nucleotide ribosomal RNA is filed under the name uncultured bacterium. Its description in RNAcentral is "partial 16S ribosomal RNA". It matches the Rfam family "Bacterial small subunit ribosomal RNA", at positions 524 to 776 of the family's 1533-position model. The record is from RNAcentral.